This 253-nucleotide ribosomal RNA is filed under the name uncultured bacterium. Its description in RNAcentral is "partial 16S ribosomal RNA". It matches the Rfam family "Bacterial small subunit ribosomal RNA", at positions 524 to 776 of the family's 1533-position model. The record is from RNAcentral.
UACAGAGGGUGCAAGCGUUGUUCGGAAUCAUUGGGCGUAAAGGGCGUGUAGGCGGUUUGUUAAGUCAUGUGUGAAAUCCCUCGGCUCAACCGGGGAACGACGCUUGAAACUGGCAAGCUAGAGUACCAAAGAGGGCGGUGGAAUUCCCGGUGUAGCGGUGAAAUGCAUAGAUAUCGGGAGGAACACCUGUGGCGAAGGCGGCCGCCUGGUUGGAUACUGACGCUGAGACGCGAAAGCGUGGGGAGCAAACAGG